Molecule: ribosomal RNA, 837 nt
Filed under: Stutzerimonas stutzeri
Lineage: Bacteria; Pseudomonadati; Pseudomonadota; Gammaproteobacteria; Pseudomonadales; Pseudomonadaceae
Description: bacterial SSU rRNA
Rfam family: Bacterial small subunit ribosomal RNA
Source: RNAcentral
GUGGAGCUACCUGCAGUCGAGCGGAUGAAGGGAGCUUGCUCUCUGAUUCAGCGGCGGACGGGUGAUGGCUGUAAUGCCUAGGAAUCCAUCGAUUAGUGGGGGACAACGUUUCGAAAGGAACGCUAAUACCGCAUACGUCCUACGGGAGAAAGCAGGGGACCUUCGGGCCUUGCGCUAAUAGAUGAGCCUAGGUCGGAUUAGCUAGUUGGUGAGGUAAAGGCUCACCAAGGCAACGAUCCGUAACUGGUCUGAGAGGAUGAUCAGUCACACUGGAACUGAGACACGGUCCAGACUCCUACGGGAGGCAGCAGUGGGGAAUAUUGGACAAUGGGCGAAAGCCUGAUCCAGCCAUGCCGCGUGUGUGAAGAAGGUCUUCGGACCGAAAAGCACUUUAAGUUGGGAGGAAGGGCAGUAAGUUAAUACCUUGCUGUUUUGACGUUACCGACAGAAUAAGCACCGGCUAACUUCGUGCCAGCAGCCGCGGUAAUACGAAGGGUGCAAGCGUUAAUCGGAAUUACUGGGCGUAAAGCGCGCGUAGGUGGUUCGUUAAGUUGGAUGUGAAAGCCCCGGGCUCAACCUGGGAACUGCAUCCAAAACUGGCGAGCUAGAGUAUGGCAGAGGGUGGUGGAAUUUCCUGUGUAGCGGUGAAAUGCGUAGAUAUAGGAAGGAACACCAGUGGCGAAGGCGACCACCUGGGCUAAUACUGACACUGAGGUGCGCGAUGCGUGGGGAGCAAACAGGAUUAGAUACCCUGGUAGUCCACGCCGUAACGAUGUCGACUAGCUCGAUGAUGGAUCCUUGAGAUCUUAGUGGCGCAUCGUAGCUAACGCAUUAAGU